Molecule: ribosomal RNA, 497 nt
Filed under: uncultured bacterium
Lineage: Bacteria
Description: partial 16S ribosomal RNA
Rfam family: Bacterial small subunit ribosomal RNA
Source: RNAcentral
GACGAACGCUGGCGGCGUGCCUAAUACAUGCAAGUUGAGCGCUGAAGGUUGGUACUUGUACCGACUGGAUGAGCAGCGAACGGGUGAGUAACGCGUGGGGAAUCUGCCUUUGAGCGGGGGACAACAUUUGGAAACGAAUGCUAAUACCGCAUAAAAACUUUAAACACAAGUUUUAAGUUUGAAAGAUGCAAUUGCAUCACUCAAAGAUGAUCCCGCGUUGUAUUAGCUAGUUGGUGAGGUAAAGGCCCACCAAGGCGAUGAUACAUAGCCGACCUGAGAGGGUGAUCGGCCACAUUGGGACUGAGACACGGCCCAAACUCCUACGGGAGGCAGCAGGAGGGAAUCUUCGGCAAUGGACGAAAGUCUGAACGAGCAACGCCGCGGGAGGGAAGAAGGUUUUCGGAUCGUAAAACUCUGUUGGUAGAGAAGAACGUUGGUGAGAGUGGAAAGCUCAUCAAGUGACGGUAACUACCCAGAAAGGGACGGCUAACUACGUG